This 198-nucleotide ribosomal RNA is filed under the name uncultured bacterium. RNAcentral describes it as "partial 16S ribosomal RNA". It matches the Rfam family "Bacterial small subunit ribosomal RNA", at positions 336 to 526 of the family's 1533-position model. The record is from RNAcentral.
CUCCUACGGGAGGCAGCAGUGGGGAAUAUUGGACAAUGGGGGAAACCCUGAUCCAGCGACGCCGCGUGUGUGAAGAAGGCCUGCGGGUUGUAAAGCACUUUUAGUGGGGAACAAAAAGCUACGGAUUAAUACUCUGUGGUCUUGGUUUAACCCAAGAAAAAGCACCGGCUAACUCUGUGCCAGCAGCCGCGGUAAUAC